Molecule: long non-coding RNA, 2342 nt
Filed under: Apteryx owenii (little spotted kiwi)
Lineage: Eukaryota; Metazoa; Chordata; Aves; Apterygiformes; Apterygidae
Description: lncRNA (ENSAOWG00000009737.1)
Source: RNAcentral
GGGGGGGCGCCCUGGGGAACGGCCCUGCGCCCCCCAUCCCGCGCCUCGGCAUCGGGCCCUACAACUGGAACACGGAGUGCCUGCGGGGCGACGCCGAGGCCCCCGGCUGGGCCACCGCCUUCCCCCAGGCGCUGGGGCUCGCCGCCUCCUUCAGCCCCGAGCUCGUCUACCGCGUGGCCAACGCCACCGCCACCGAAGUGAGAGCCAAGCACAACCAUUUCGCCGCCGCGGGCCGCUACGAGGACCACACGGGGCUCAGCUGCUUCAGCCCGGUGCUGAACAUCAUGCGGCACCCGCUGUGGGGCAGGAACCAGGAGACGUACGGGGAGGACCCGUUCCUCACCGCGGAGCUGGCCACGAGCUUCGUGCAGGGGCUGCAGGGCCAGCACCCGCGCUACAUCAAGGCUAGCGCCGGCUGCAAGCACUUCAGCGUGCACGGGGGCCCCGAGAACAUCCCCGUCUCCAGGCUCAGCUUCGACGCCAAGGUGCUGGAGCGGGACUGGCGCAUGACCUUCCUGCCCCAGUUCCAGGCUUGCGCGCGCGCCGGCUCCUACAGCUUCAUGUGCAGCUACAACAGGAUCAACGGCGUCCCGGCCUGCGCCAACAAGAAGCUGCUGACGGACAUCCUGCGGGGCGAGUGGGGCUUCGAGGGCUACGUGGUGAGCGACGAGGGCGCCGUGGAGCUCAUCAUGCUGGGGCACCACUACACGCGCAGCUUCCUGGAGACAGCCGUGGCCGCGGUGAACGCCGGCUGCAACCUGGAGCUCUCCUACGGCCUGAAGAACAACGUCUUCAUGCACAUCACCGAGGCCUUGGCCACGGGCAACAUCACGCUGGAGACGCUGCGCGCCCGGGUCCGGCCCCUCUUCUACACGCGCCUGCGGCUGGGGGAGUUCGACCCCCCGGCCAUGAACCCCUACAGCGCCCUGGACCUGAGCGCCGUGCAGAGCCCUGCGCAUCGCGCCCUCGCGCUCGAAGCCGCCGUCAAGAGCUUCGUGCUGCUGAAGAACGCGGGGGACACGCUGCCCCUCCGGGCGCAGGACCUGCGGGGCCGGCGCAUCGCGGUCGUGGGCCCCUUCGCUGACAACCCCAAGGUCCUGUUUGGGGACUACGCGCCCGUCCCGGAGCCCCAGUACAUUUAUACACCUCGGAGGGGUCUGGAGACGCUGCCAGCCACCAUCAGCUUCGCGGCGGGCUGCGGCGAGCCGCGGUGCCAGCAGUACUCGCCGGCCGAGGUGGAGGGAGCGGCGCGGGGAGCCGACGUGGUGGUGGUGUGCCUGGGCACGGGGACGGAUGUGGAGACGGAGGGGAAGGACCGGGAGGACCUGUCGCUGCCCGGCCACCAGCUGGAGCUGCUGCAGGACGCCGUGCACGCGGCUGCUGGGCGCCCCGUCGUGCUGCUGCUGUUCAACGCGGGGCCGCUGGACGUGAGCUGGGCGCAGGGGCACGACGGCGUGGGCGCCAUCCUGGCGUGCUUCUUCCCGGCGCAGGCUGCCGGCCUGGCCAUCGCCAGGGUGCUGCUGGGCGAGGAGGGGGCCAACCCGGCCGGCCGGCUCCCGGCCANNNNNNNNNNNNNNNNNNNNNNNNNNNNNNNNNNNNNNNNNNNNNNNNNNNNNNNNNNNNGUGGGUCCCACGCGGCCGCUUCCCGCAGGUGCCGCCAAUGGAGAACUACACCAUGGCGGGGCGGACGUACCGCUACUACGGGCAGGAGGCCCCGCUCUACCCCUUCGGCUACGGGCUCUCCUACACCACCUUCCGCUACCAGGAGCUGGUGCUGAGCCCCGCGGCGCUGCCCGCCUGCGCCAACCUCUCCGUGUCCGUGGUGGUGCAGAACACGGGGCGGCGGGACGGCGAGGAGGUGAGCGCCGCRGGGCUCCGGCUCUGCCCCGGCCGCAGCGGGGAGCCGGGGUGGGAUGGGGGGGCAGCCGGGGGCCCCGCGGGCGCUGACGGCCCUCCCCGCUUGCAGGUGGUGCAGCUGUACCUGCGGUGGGAGCAGCCGUCCGUGCCGGUGCCCCGCUGGCAGCUGGUGGCCUUCCGCCGGGUGGCCCUGCCGGCGGGGCGGGCGGCCAAGCUGGCUUUCCGGGUGACGGCGGCGCAGCGUGCCGUCUGGGCGCCGCCGUGGCGCCUGGAGCCCGGCGCCUUCACGCUCUUCGCCGGCGGGCAGCAGCCGGGCCAGGAGACGCACGCCGCCUCCGAGGUGCUCAGCGGGCGCUUCAGGGUGACCGGCGCUGCCCGGCCCCUGAGCCGCUGCUAGGGACGCGCACGGCGGCGGCGGCGGGGGGACGCGGCGAGCUCGGGUGCCUGCCUUGCAAUAAAGCCUGCCCGGCGGCGCUCCCGCCCCA